Molecule: long non-coding RNA, 15638 nt
Filed under: Brassica napus (rape)
Lineage: Eukaryota; Viridiplantae; Streptophyta; Magnoliopsida; Brassicales; Brassicaceae
Description: long non-coding RNA (BNAP_LNC007386)
Source: RNAcentral
GCUAACAAAGGGUAGAUACCCAGACAUCAUGAGGGAAAUUGUGGGUAGUCGGCUUCCCAAUUUCACGGAAGCAGAAGCGGAACUCGUUGCGGGUUCAUAUGAUUUUCUUGGUCUCAACUACUACACCACUCAGUACGCCCAGGCAAAACCUAACCCAGUUACAUGGGCAAAUCACACUGCCAUGAUGGACCCAGGCGCAAAGCUCACAUGUACCAUUCUGUUUCCUCUUAUAGUUACAACCUUUCUAUAUAUAGAUAUCUCCUUUUAAUUAUAACAUAUAUGUAAAUUGUGAGUGACCACCAAUUAUUUCAUCCUUGGGUUUACAGAUAACAAUUCACGUGGUGAAAAUCUUGGUCCACUGGUACGUGCAUGAUCCACCCCUGUUACUUCUCAAUAUUUUUUUUUCUUUCUUGUUUAUGGGUAAUGGGUAUAAUAUGUACGCUUCCUUUUCUCAGUUCGUUAAAGACGAAAAAAACGGGAAUGCCUAUUACUACCCAAAAGGCAUCUAUUACGUUAUGGACUACUUCAAAACCAAAUACAGUAACCCUUUGAUCUAUAUCACUGAGAACGGUGACUACUACUCAUCUCUUUUUUGCAUAUUAAUUAAGUAAAUGUGUGUUUCAAAUAAUGUAUAGUUGUUGAUGUACCAUGAUGGUCUAAUUAGGAUUUAGUACUCCCGGUGAAGAAAACCGUGACAAAGCUAUUGCUGAUUCCAAGCGGAUCGAUUAUCUCUGCAGUCAUCUAUGUUUUCUCCGCAAGGUCAUCAGGUGAGGGGAAGCUACUUUAUUUUUUUCUCUUUUGAAUUUGAUGUAUGGUCAUCAUCAUGCAUAGGCUUUGAAUUAUGAUUUUUCCUGUUUCCAGGGAGAAGGGUGUCAACAUAAAAGGAUACUUUGCAUGGGCUCUUGGAGAUAAUUAUGAAUUCUGCAAAGGUUUUACCGUUAGAUUCGGACUUAGUUACGUUAACUGGACAGACCUCAAUGAUAGAAAUCUCAAAGACUCUGGCAAAUGGUACCAAAGCUUUAUUAACGGUACCAAUAAGAACCCUGCCAAACAAUAUUUCCGCCGCCCAAACCUCUCCUUCCAGAACCAGAAGAAGAAGCUCGCAGAUGCAUGAAACACUUUAUCCCACCAUCAUGAUCAUCUUCAUAUCUCGACUACUUGCUUCAUAGAUAAGGAGCUUGUUGUACUAAAUAAAUAUUCUAAUAAAAGAUGAUCAUUUACUAAUGAAUAUUUUCGUUUGAGUUCAAUCCCUUCUUACCGCUUCAGUUACGUUUUACUUUGGAUGAUUAGGUUAGGUUUUACAAAUUAUAAAACUUGGCAUGUCAGCUAUUCAUGUGAGAUUUGUAGGUUUAGAUAAGAGAGAGUCUAUGUGUAAAUGCGAGAACUAGCAAGAAUAGUAACACAAAGUACACAAGAGAAUAUCUCUACAAAAAAUAUGUGUAUUUACUAGUAUUUUUAAAGUAAAUUUACUGAUAUAAACCUUAGAUUCUGUCAGCACUUGCCUCCAAGAAAACCCUAGAUUCUUCAAUUGCGACCUCCUCUGAGCUGAGCCUGAGUUCUGAUAUCAAUUUGUUCAACUUCACGCUCAGAUUACGACCUAGAUCUUCUCGAUUGCUUGAAUAUAAAAAAAACAUGCAAGAAGACACGGUUUGUUCACCCGGUGUCCAACUCCUUUUUCGAUGUAAGUAAGAGAUAUUCUCACCUGGUCUGGUUAGACCAGCAAUACACUAUCUCAGCUCAAACUCGAGCCCGGAUCAACAACCGAUCACAAUCUUUUUCUCCGAUCUUAUCUCUCUCUCUCUCUUAUCAGCUAGAGAUAUAAAGUGAGUUUUAACGACUUAUACAACGUCGUUUUACAACACUCAUCUCCCCCCCAACGUGCUAAAACACGUGCAACUUGAACAAGCUAUAACCGGCUUAAAUCACUUCUAAUUUAACCCGUCAAUCAAACCAGUUUACAUACACUCGGAUUCCUGUCAUCCUGAGUAGACCCACUCAGCUUCGUAUCUUGCGAACUUAGAAACUCAGUUCUCAGUCACCCUGAGAAAAGUCAAUUCUUCCCUCAUCUUGCCAACUGGUAAAACCUUGGUAAUAUAUUUGCGGGAUUGUACUGCGAAGCAAUCUUCACAACAUUGAUGAUCUUCUCACUUACCAACUCACGAACAAAGUUGUACUUCACGUCCACAUGAUUUGUCCUCUUCUGAAGCACUGUGUUUCUUGAUAGUGCAAUAUCACUUUGAGAAUCACAAAACACCUCCACUUGGGUUGGUCUUAAGCAAAACCCAACUCGUUCAUAAAACCCCUGAGCCAUACUGCUUCCCGAGCUGCUUCACUCAAUGCAAUGUACCUGGUUGUUGAUAGUGCCACUACUUUCUGUAAACUCGACCUCCAGCUCACUAAAUUCUCUCCAAAUGUGAAUACCAUUCCUGUGAUUGACCUCUUUUUAUCCAAGUCUGCUCCAUAUUCUUCAUCACAGUACCCCUUUAUAAUUGUUAGAAUCGGGUUUAUUAUGGGCUUCCAACUCAAAACCAAUUGGCAAUUAGUGGAUUGGCGCUAACCCUUUAUAUAUUACUUAAUGUCCCAUUGAUUUUCCAAUGUGGGAUACAUAUCCCUUAAUACCCCUCCUCGAGAUGAUGGCUCUUAUCGGCCAGAAAUCUCGGAACUUUAAGACAGUUAUACUCGGUCGAGCGAGUCAAUUACGACCUAUAUACCCGGUCGGGUAGGGUUAAUAUUAAUUAGGGGUUUUAACUUAUUAGGAUCUGGGCUCUGAUACCAUGUUAGAAUCGGGUUUAUUAUGAGCUUCCAACUCAAAACCAAUUGGCAAUUAGUGGAUUGGCCCUAACCCUUUAUAUAUUACUUAAUGUCCCAUUGAUUUUCCAAUGUGGGAUACAUAUCCCUUAAUAAUAAUAAAAUGUCAUUGCUUCUUGUGUUAAAGCAUCACCUUGAUAUUAUUUCCUUUCUCUUUCUCUUCUUAUUCUUUCAGAUCUCUGAUUUUCUUGAUAUCGACGAAAACAUAAAUCACAGGUUACUCCACUUAAGUUACCUCCACUUAUACAACCAGCAUCACCAUUUACCACUGCAUUAGUUUCUGCUGCUGUCGUCAUCCGUCAUUCAAUUGAUAUCAUUUCAUAUUAUCUUCCAUGUAGAUCGUACUGUCCAAUCUGGUUUGGAGGAAACGCUAGACGAGGUUCUGUCAUUGCCGACAUUAACUGACACGCCACCAUCAGUGUUCUUCCAUUUCCUAACUUCCAUCGAAAUUAACAAAAAUAGCCCGGAAUUGAUGUCGCUUUCAUAUUGUCUUCCCCGUCUUCUUUAUGUUUAACAUUUUUAAGUUUUCAAAUCUGCUCUAUUAUACAUACAUACUUAUAUAGUAUAGUUUAAUAUUAUAUAUGAUUUUCAGAUUUUAAUUACAUUAUAUUUUAAAUUUGGGUUUAUUAAUUAGAGUUUACUGAUUAGUGUUUAGUGUUUAGUAUUUGAAAGGUGAGGAUGAAAUUAGAAAUAGGUUAAAAUAAGGUUUAGUAUUUUACAUUUUUGUUUAUUGUGUUCUAUUCUAUUAUAUACAUAUAGAAUAGAAAUGCAAAACAAUAUACAUUAUAUUUUUUUAAUAAUCUGAAAUAAUCAAAUAGAUAAUAUUAUUCAAAAUAUAUAUUUUUAAUUUCUAAGAUUUUCAUAGAAUACAAUUUUAGAAUUUAUUUAUUUAUACUAUAGAAAGGAUAUUUUUAUAGGAUAAUUUAUAUUUCCAUAUUUUGCUUUAAAUUAUAUACUUUAUUAUCUAUCAUUUUAAUAUUUUCUACAUUUUAUAAGUAAAUAUAUUGUCCUGUUCAAAUAAUAUAACAAUUGUUUUAUUAAAUUGUAUACAUAAUAGCAUCUAUCAUAUUAUUUUAGUAAAUUGUAUCGAUAUAGAAUAUUAGUUGGAUGUUAUGAUUUUAGGUUUUCUGAUUUUUGUUAUUAUAUUAAUAUUUUAAAAUAUAAUAUUACUUUUGCUUUUUAAAUUUUUUUUUUUUGUGUUUCAUUUCAAACAAUAUACUUUAACAUCUAUUAUUUUAUCUUUUAUAAAAUUUGGAGUAUUAUCAUUUUGACUUCGAAAAUUACAAACUUGUAUAUUUGGUCAAGAAAAGUUUCAAAAAUUAUACAAUUAUUUCCUAAACUGAAAUAUUUAAUAUUUUUCUAAACAUAUUUUGUUAAAAUUAAAAUAAAUAUGAGAUUUAGAGUCAAAAUAUCUUUGCAUUUAGCAUCUUUAAUGAAUUAUUAAGAUUUUAAAAUUUUCUAAUAGUAUAUUUUGUAUAUAUUACAUGAACUAAAGGUUAGAAUAUAAUAUUAGAAUUUGUAAAUAAUCAUUUUUAAAUAAUAUAGUUUUGGAGUUUCAAAAUAAAUAAGAAAAUAAUAUAUAGUUGUAGAUACAAAAGUUUAACUUAUUUUAAUUAUUUUAUUUUCAAUAAAAAGUUUUUAAAAUUGAACUCAUUUUAAUGGUGAAGGAUAAUUUAUUUAAAUGAAAGUAUUUUUAAAGUAACAUAGGUUGAUGUACCAAUUUAAUAUAAUUUUCAUAUUUGAUUCAUAUAAUACUUAUUUAAAUAUAAUAUAGAGUAUAAAUAUAUAAUUUUUUAAAAAAAGACAGCAUAUAAUUUUUUUUGUUUAUAAAAACAUUUUAAUUAACAUUAAUUUAUAUAGUUGUAGAAUCACAAGCGUCAAAAUUCUUUGUAUUCCGUACAACUAUUAUUUAUAUACCGUAAAAACACUUUAGCAACCUAGUCAUUUGUAAUGAGACUGCUAAUUCAAAUCAACACGCGUCAAGAUUCUUUGUAUAGACGGUUUGUUUAGAGCCUUUUUAGUCGGACUUGGAGUUUAAAAAAAUAUUAUCAGAUGUCUAAUAUUUGAGUACUUAAAACAUUUCUAAUGUAAAAUUUUAUUUAAAAAAAAAAAAUUAGAACAAUUUUAUAAUGGAUUGGAUUUACUUCAACUCUAGUUCAUGCUGAAGUGAAAAUAGAGUAAUGAACAAAAGAUAAAAUCAUUGUUUUAUUUAUAGAAUAAAUUCAUUUUUACUCUAUUAUAUAAAAAUAGAAUAUAACUGAAAUAUAACUGAAAGAAAAAUAUUCUAUAUUUCAGUUUAGGAAAAUAUACGGAAUGAGUUGCAGAUGGUCUAAAGCCUUGGUUAACAAAUAUAUUGAUUCAAGGCCACUUUCAUCACGAGCCUCACCGCUCACAGGCAACGCAUAUCUUUAUCUAUUUUGGCCGCUUGAUGCAAGUCACAUGAAACCUGAGACUCAGCCUCUCCAAACAUACCAAUAGAAAUCAAAAAGCAACAACAAUUUGCUUUUUAAUUGUUUAAUAAUAAUUAUUGGAGGUGCUUUAUCAUCGGCAAAACUGUGAUCUUUCGUAGCCUUUAAAUUCAUAGUGGGGAAUCUAAAAUCGACGGUACGGACGCAAUUUGCUUCGUAUGCCCCCAGUAAUUUUAUCCGUAAUCAGUUCGAUGCUCCUAUGCCCAGUCAGCUCUUCUUUAUUUUUUACUUCUCGGUAAAUAUUUAUGUCUAUUUUCUACAAAUUUAAAUUUGAACUUUAAUGUUGGGUAUAUAUCGUCUAACCUCUAUGAAUGUCAAAAAAGUUAUUUACUUUUAUUAAAAAAACAAGGAAUAUUGUUUAUAUGUAAGGAUUGGGAAUGUCACUAAACUGGUGGUACCUUGCCUUUGGAUUCUCACUAAGCAUAUGUGCAGAUGGCAUAUUCAAGUCUAUCUCCUUUUAGUCUGCACCUUCUCUUGCGUGUUUUUGUUGAUGUAAGGAAAAGUUUAAAAAAGCAUAGGUCUAUCCCAAAUGUAAGGCAAGAGUUGUACAAAAAGCAUAGCGAACCAUCAGGAGAAGGCUAAUCACAUAUUAAGAAUCUAAUAUAUUACAUAAAUUAAGAAAAUCUAUUUCGGAAAAUUGAAGCAAAUAAAACAAUCAAAACAAACUCAAAAGUCAAAAUCAAAAGCUAACAUAGAAUAAGCAAGUUUGAAAAAAAAACAAAGAAAAUGGUGUGACGGUCAAAACAGCUUAUUUUUUAGGGUCACACUGUUAGAAAUCUGUUGAAAAGAACCAUUUUAGAUUAUUAUUUUAGAUUAUUGUAAAUCAUAUUUUGUCACCACUUUCCGACGGAUCCCUAUCUAGAAAAAAAUAUAAUAUCUACUCCAUGAAGAAAAAAAAAAAUUUUAUUCAUAUGUUUGUUACAUAAAUUGUUUCUUAAAUUUACACUAUUCUUAUGGUUUUAAUGGUUUUAUUAUUUUAAUACCUGGUAGCCUCUAUUCUCUACUUCAAAAAUAAAUUAUUCUAAAAAAAAAGAGUUUUUGUCCAAUGGUUACAUGCAUUUUAUAUUCUAAAAAGAGAAUAUAAAAAUAUAUUAUUUUUAUUAUAUUAAUUUAUGAUACAAUUUUUAACUUUCGAAAUAUUAAAGUUUUAUCCAUUUAUUUUAUUUUAUAACAAUGUACUACCGCAAUAAAAUAUUAUUUUAAAACUAAAAUUUUAUUAUAAUACAUCAUUAAAAACAAAUGAUGUACUAAAGAUUAUAUUUAAAUGUGUAAAUCAUAUUAUAUAAGUUUAUUCUGGUGUAAAAUGAGAACAUAUUAAAAUGAAGGAUCAUUUUAUAAAGAAAAAGUUUCAUUCUAUUAAUAGAAUAAAAAACAAUGUUACUCUAUAAUUGGUGUACUACUAUUGAUCUCUCUACAUUUGAUGCAAGAUAUUAGUGUAAAGUUGAAAAGUGGUAUUAGAAAAAUGGUAUUAGUGGCAAUUCCCCUUGUUUUUACUCUAUAUUUGGUGUAAAAAGAAAAAAAAUAGAUUUACCACAGGAGAUAAUCUAAGAUUAUUAUAUAAUUAAACAAAAUUAUAUCAUUAAUCUAAUAUUCUAAGCUAAUCGGGUCAUGUGAGAAUAACUGGAAAGUGAUAAUCCAGUUUAAUUUACGAUGGCUAAAGUACUAUAAGAUUAAACCGAAAAUAGUAAAUUAAGGGUGCAACCAAAAUCGUAUGUUUAUAGCCAUCAGCCAGUCUUUUUUUUUUUCCUUUGUGGAUCAUUUUGGUAUAUAAUGGUUCAAGAAAAAUGUAUAUACUAAAUCUGCAUCGUAAAAUAAAUAAAUGUACUGGAGUUUAAUGGGUCGCUAAGAGAUUAACAUGUUUCAAUAUCAACAUAUGGUUAUUAAAAAUAUAUGACCAUUCAAUAAGAUUAGAUCUAAUAACAUUAUUUUUAAUGACAAUUUCAAAAUGUGUAUUUGAUAACAAAGAUAUUGUUCAGCGGCACAAUAGUUGUCUGGUAUCUUGAUCAACUCAACAAAGUCUAUAUGUUCUAUGAUUUUGUUGUUUAUACAAAAGAAAUAAUCAAAGAAGUCAAGUAGUAAGUACAAAUGACUCUAGAGAGGGCACACAAUAAAAUUAUUUAUUUAUUUCACAUCAAUCUCAAUAAAAACUACUAAAACUAGCUUUUACUUAAAACAAAUCUCUAAUCCAAUUGGACCCCUCACAAGUCACAGCAUGAUCUCCGUGUUCCAACUAAACAAUACCAGUCCCAUUACAGGGAAACAUAUCCAUAACGACAAAAAUUAACAAAUUAAAAUGUUAUCCUUAAUUAGAAACCGUUUUACGACGAACUAACUCAAAAAAAAUAAUUUGUCGAUAAUUUGUAGUUAAUAAACAACAAAAUAAUUUUCGUAAUGAAGAAUUAACAAAGAAAAUAUUUCAUUAAUAUAAGUCGUUUUAGAAUUGUGCACAUAGAUUAAGAAAUCAUUAAUUUUUUAUAUUUUCUAAACAAAAACAUCAUUAAUUAUUUACUAACCACAAAUUAACCAAUAAUAAAAUAGAAAUUAUAUUAUCAUUGGUUAUAUAACAUUAAGUGUUAAUAAAUUUUACAUAGAAAACCGAAAACGUCAUAUAAUUUCGAACAUAAAAAUUUCUCUAAAACGACUUAUAUUAAAAAAACGGAUAGAGUAGGUGAAUACAUGACUAAUGUGCAAUUGGGAAAUGGAAAUAUAUUGGCAAUUGGGCAAUUUUUGUUUUUAAUUCGAUGGUAAAAUCGUAACUGACAAGCUCCAAAAAUUCUUAUAAAUAUGAGAAUAUGGAUAUUUAUAGAACCACAAACGAAAACCACACCAAAAAGUCUCCUAAAUAAAAUUGUUCUUUUCUAAAACUGAAAUAUGUUUUCAAGUGGUAGUAUAUAUGAUUUGCGAGAAUGACUGUAUAUGCACAUAGAUUCCGAAGGAACAGUCACAAAUAAAUUUGUCAAUGGGCUAGAGAUUUUCAUGUUCCAAACUGGAAAUAUACCGAUAAUUUUGAAAACCGUUAAGAUAAUAUGUCCUUGUCGGAAGUGCAAGAAUACAAAAUUUUAGUCGUAAUGAUAAAAUUUGGAACCAUAUAGUAAAUAAAAGGUUUACACUGAAUUACUGUAGUUAGUUUAAUCAUGGAGAAGGUUAGGGUGGAAAUGAAGCAAGUAGUAAUAAUAGUAAUUUAAUGAUGUUGAUAAUAAAGAAUCGAUCAGUAAUUUGCAUUACCAUGGUAGUUAUGAGAUGGAUCACAAAGAUAUAGAGCAUCAUAGAGUUCCUGACAUGGUCACAAAUGUCCUUCAUGACACAACGUCAACAUUUAGUGAUAAAGUAUUGUUCAAGAAACUAACUUAGAUGAAUUUGUUUUUUUACGAAAUGUUAAAUGAUGCCAACCAACCAAUUUUUUCUAGUUGUAGAGGAUGUCAAUUUUGACAUAACGUUUGUCGGUUGGUCCGAGUGGUCACAAACCUAUGCCUCAAAUAUCCGGUGAAACACUUUCUGCAUAUGUCCGUUUACUGAUUGUAAGUAUUCGUUAUUUUGAAAUUUACAUUUACAUAUUUAUACUUGUUUAAAUUUCCGUGAUGUUUAUCAAUUUUAUUUUCAGGCCGAAAAGCAAGGCGAACUUCCUUCUAUUUCCAUAUUUUCUAGGUAACUCAUAAGAACUGGAGUGGAGCCUUCGUUAAUGCUAGAUCAAAAAAACAACAAUGAUGCCAUGACAUGGAUCCAAGAGCAUCAGGCUCAGAUUUCUCAGCAGUCUGAAUAUGGUACUCACAUUCUUUUUCCAUACCGAAAUUAGACAAGUUUUGCAAAGUCGUAUACAAUCACUCAAAUAUCUCUUUUAAACUUGAUUGAUAUUAUUACUAAUAUUUUCAUAUAAUUUUGUAUUUAAAAAUACAGACAAUUGGAUUGGAAUCAAUCAACGAAUUUCAUAGGGUCACCUCUUCCUAUGUUCGUAGAGGUGAUGAUCUGGCUCAACUCUGAACGGAGUUGACAGAUGCACAUAACGAGAUUUCAUCAAUAAGGAUUGAGCAUCAAGCAACGUGCCAACAGUUGUAAACCAUGAAAAUUAUGUUUGCCAUACAUGUGGAUGGACUUGAAAGCUACUCGAGCUCUAGAGAUUAUACGUAAAAAUAUUAAUAUCAUCAUACAACCAACUUUGGAGGAGCAAGCUGCCCUGGAACGAAUAACGGAUAAAGCGGUUCGAAAGAGUUCUUCAACGACGUUGAUUUGAAAUAGUUUCUAUAUUGUUAUUUGUUUUAUAAUUUCUAUUAAAAAAUCCAUUUUAUUUCUGUCUUAUUUUUACAUUUAUUUUUAAUUAUUAUAAUAUAUUAAUUUAAUUAUUAUUGUAUUUUAUUAAAGGUAUACAUUUAUAAGUUAAUUCUUUGUUAACUUCACAAUUAAUUAACAUUGAAUUAAAACAAAUCUUUCGUAAUCUCUUAUAUAUUAAUUGAGAAACACUACAACAUUAUUUUGUAGCCACUUGUCACCAUGAGAAUAAAAUUCAGAAUUCUUAGAAAAAUAGGUUGGUCCAUCUUAACUUAUAUUAUAUUUUUUAUUAAACUAACUAUUAAAUUGAUAAAUAGUGUACAAAAGAAUAUUCUCGCAUUUUCCUUAAAUAAAUCUACGGAAUUGCCUAAUAUGAUUAACGUAUAUAUGACAAUCAAUGAUUAUGAAUAAUAAAUAUUUGAUAAUGAUUUUUGUAUCUUAGCUCUUUUUUGUUUAAUUUCAUAUUAUUAAAAGAUAUUAAACAACUAUAUUAAUUAUAUAAUAAAAAUAUUAAAUUUUUUUCUUAUAUGUUAUAUUUUAAAUUUUUAAAACGACUAUAAAUUACUAAAAACAUUAAAUGUCUCACACUAAAAUUUUGUGAUCAAUGGUUUAACUUUUUGGUAAUAACAAAAUACAAAUGAUCAUAAAUCUUAUAAAUAUGAAGUCUCAUUUACUAGACAUUCAUUUUAUAUAUUAAUAUAAUUUAAUAUUAAACUAUGUAACAUAGAAAAAUACUUAAAUAUGAUAAUUUCUAAAUUUUUAUUGAAAAUUUAUUAAAACCUUAAUAUUUUAAUUUUAAAAUUUGCAUUAAAAAAAUCGCACAUUAGAAAUUUUGUGUUUAUCAUAUGAAUAUGAAUUCUCAAUAAUAAAUAUUUAUAUUAAAAUAUACUAUAUAUCUAUAUCAAUGUCAUUGAAAUUAAAUUAUAUACCAUAUAAAAUAAAUAAAAUGAUUGUUUUGAUUUAUUUACUAAAUAAACAAGAUGUAUUAUUUUUAUUUAUGUCUUUACUCUAAUUUAAUUAUAUACAUAAUAUAUAAAUGAAUACAAAUAAAUAAUAAUAGAUAAAAAUAGUUUUAUAUAUAACAUUCAUCCUGCGCAAUUGCCCGGGUCUUAAGCUAGUUCAUUGUUAACUUAACAACAAAUUAACAUUGACUGUCGCAGUUAAUUUAUUGCUAAUUUAACAACAAUAAUAAACAUCCACGAUUUAAAGUCUUAUAUUGUAAGUCAAAGUUACGAAGAUAGUUUCAGCGCAAAAUUUAUAUCUAAUUUACGAUGAAUAUAUUUACGACAAAAUAACGACGUAUCAUGGACCUUGCAACUUAAGUAUGUACGACGAUCUUUCAAUAACUAUGUGCACUUAACGAUGAAAUUACAUUCCUUGUUAUUUAGUUGUAGACCAGAUGUCUUUUUUAGAUUUGUACAGACUUAGACAGAGUUUAAUAAAAUAUUAAGGGUGUUAAACAGUAUUGGCCAAGUUUUUAGGCUAGACCAGGAACUGCAUUGCCUUUAAAAAUAUGAGAAAACAAAAGAUUUUGUUCUUGCUUUAAGGUAUGUGAAAAAUUGUCUUAUCUUUUUGUUUAAUUAUCCGUUAACAGUUCAAUUUAUAUUCUCAAGAUUAUAUUGGAGCUAUUGACUGCAUUACUCAAUAUAUAUAUAUAUAUAUGUAUUAUAUAUGUUUAAUUAAGAUAGGUUACUUAAUUAUAAGUUUGAGUUUUAUUUAUAUUUCACAUUAAAAAUAUUUCAUGAAAAUUUUAUCUCGCAAACUGUGGGUACAUAAACAAGAUAAAUUUUAGAGCUCUAUUUCGUAGUACACAUAAUCAUAUGAAAUAAUUUACUGGAGAAGGCAUUGAUCGAAGAAAUAAAUAAGAAUUAUUCAACCAUCGUCAUUCUUGUUUGAGAAAUAUCAUCGAAAGGAUAAAUUUGCAUUAAAAAAAUUGCACAUUAGAAAUUUUGUGUAUAUCAUAUGAAUAUGAAUUCUCAAUAAUAAAUAUUUAUAUUAAAAUAUACUAUAUAUCUAUAUCAAUGUCAUUGAAAUUAAAUUAUAUACCAUAUAAAAUAAAUAAAAUGAUUGUUUUGAUUUAUUUACUAAAUAAACAAGAUGUAUUAUUUUUAUUUAUGUCUUUACUCUAAUUUAAUUAUAUACAUAAUAUAUAAAUGAAUACAAAUAAAUAAUAAUAGAUAAAAAUAGUUUUAUAUAUAACAUUCAUCCUGCGCAAUUGCCCGGGUCUUAAGCUAGUUCAUUGUUAACUUAACAACAAAUUAACAUUGACUGUCGCAGUUAAUUUAUUGCUAAUUUAACAACAAUAAUAAACAUCCACGAUUUAAAGUCUUAUAUUGUAAGUCAAAGUUACGAAGAUAGUUUCAGCGCAAAAUUUAUAUCUAAUUUACGAUGAAUAUAUUUACGACAAAAUAACGACGUAUCAUGGACCUUGCAACUUAAGUAUGUACGACGAUCUUUCAAUAACUAUGUGCACUUAACGAUGAAAUUACAUUCCUUGUUAUUUAGUUGUAGACCAGAUGUCUUUUUUAGAUUUGUACAGACUUAGACAACUUUAGGAAAUACGAGAUGGAUUUUGGUUGAAGAAAUUCUUGCCACAUUUUUUCUCAUUGUUGGCCAGUGUACGAGAUAUUAUUCUCCCUCGAGAUGUAUUCAAGAGAUCAAGUUUUGAAAUAAUUCAGAGUUUAAUAAAAUAUUAAGGGUGUUAAACAGUAUUGGCCAAGUUUGUAGGCUAAACCAGGAACUGCAUUGCCUUUAAAAAUAAGAGAAAACAAAAGAUUUUGUUCUUGCUUUAAGGUAUGUGAAAAAUUGUCUUAUCUUUUUGUUUAAUUAUCCGUUAACAGUUCAAUUUAUAUUCUCAAGAUUAUAUUGGAGCUAUUGACUGCAUUACUCAAUAUAUAUAUAUAUAUAUAUGUUAUAUAUGUUUAAUUAAGAUAGGUUACUUAAUUAUAAGUUUGAGUUUUAUUUAUAUUUCACAUUAAAAAUAUUUCAUGAAAAUUUUAUCUCGCAAACUGUGGGUACAUAAACAAGAUAAAUUUUAGAGCUCUAUUUCGUAGUACGCAUAAUCAUAUGAAAUAAUUUACUGGAGAAGGCAUUGAUCGAAGAAAUAAAUAAGAAUUAUUCAACCAUCGUCAUUCUUGUUUGAGAAAUAUCAUCAAAAGGAUUUUGGGUAUUUUCAAAUCAAGAUUUCUUAUAUUCAAAUUCGCUCCUAGUUUUUCAUAAAUGACACAAGCAGAGCAAGUGCUUGUAUCUGCUGCAUUGCAUAACUUUUUCCGUCAGAAGUGUCGGCCAGAUGAGUUUCUUCCAGAAGAAACAUCUGAUGAACAAAAUGUUACUCAAUUAAGUAGUAAUGGUUAUCAAUUUCUUGGCGAACAAGAACAACAAAGAGAACAUGCUACUGAAUAGAGAACAACCAAUGCUUCAAAUAUGUGGAAUGAUGGUACUAGUGGAUCUCAACGGUGAAAUAUGCCUGAGUAAGUUAACAUUUUUAUGUGUUUAAUUUUAUAGUUGACAAUAAUAGUGAAAUCUCACAAUGUAUUUUUAGGUGUGAGAUGAUUUAUGGCAUUGUUGGCAUGAUAUUAAAAACACACAUUCGUCUGUCACAAUAAAGUCAAAAUUGCAGUCAAGUAUUUGUAAUUUUUUUUCAUGUUUUUUUCGAAAUUGAUUACACUUUUUUGCGUGGUUUCGAUAAAUUGUUGUGAGAAAAUGUUUUUUAAUGAUCUUAGGAAAUCAAUUUUUAUUUUCUUUAAAAUUCUACCAAAUUAAUCUCCUAUCAAAAGCUCUAUCAAAUUCCUUAAAAUCCAAACAAAUUUAGCUAAAUUCCAUCAAAUCUGAAAUCCUUAAAAAAAUUCAAAUCCCUAAUCAAAUAAGCCCUUUAAUAUAUUUGAACCUAUACUUAAGUACCAAAUGGUUAUAUAUUUAAAAAGAUCCAACAGUUAAUUCAACAAAAUAAACUUUACAUAAAUUUUUAUCCCUUUCGUAAUUUGUUAAAAUAUGAUAAUCUACUUACAAGGUUGUCAUUUUAUUCAGAUAAUAGUCCAUAGUUAUUUACAAAAUAAACUUUACAAAAAAAUAACGACCAAUCACAAUGCUGAUACUGAUUCAGCUAAAGUAACUGAGCCCACGGAAUUCACCCCACCAAACCUCUCCCAAAAUAUCAAGAUAUUGAAGAAAAGAAAAUGUAUACGUGACACUACUUUACAAAGGCUAUAUAAACCCUAGACUAGCACAAGGUUCCAUCCAACACAAACACAUACAUCUACUUAUUAACCAUGAAGCUUCAUGGACUAGCCUUGAUAGGUUUUCUAAUUGCCGUGGUGAGUUGCAAAGCUAUUGAGGAAUGCCAAGAGAACGAGCCAUUCACAUGUAGAAACACUGAUCAGUUAAGCAGUAAAAAUUUCCCAAAAGACUUCAUAUUCGGUGUUGCUUCUGCUGCUUACCAGGCAUGUUACAAACCAACAAUUUUUGACGUAGAAAACCAUUUAAAAUAUUAAAUCCAACGUUGCAUGGUUGUUUCUUAUUAUUGUAGGUGGAAGGGGGCAGAGGACGUGGUCUUAACGUUUGGGAUGGCUUCACUCACCGAUACCCAGGUAUAUCAUCUACAUGGUACAUAUAUAUACAUAUGUACAACUCUUAUCAUUCUUAGUAUAAAAUGUAUCUGUUUACUAUCAGAGAAGGGAGGAUCCGAUCAUGGGAAUGGAGACACUACUUGUGAGUCAUAUACGAGAUGGCAGGUUAGUUCCUCACUGAGUCAUAUACCAGAUGGCAGGUUAAUUUCUCAUUUCCUCACUAUAUAUAAUGAUAUCCGAGUGCGUGUGUAAACUGCAGAAAGAUAUAGACAUCAUAGACGAACUCAAUGCUACUGGCUACAGAUUCUCAUUUGCCUGGUCAAGAAUCAUUCCAAGUAUGAACACAUAAACAAUCUAUUUAUACAAAAGAAUUCUCGUAAUUUGAUUGUGAUUGUUGGGAAGAUUAAAUAUAUGAUAUGUAUACAUGAGCAGAAGGAAAGGUGAGUAGGGGAGUGAACAAAGGAGGUAUCGAAUACUACCACAAACUUCUAGAUGGCCUCAUCGCUAAGAAUAUAACCCCUUUUGUUACCCUCUAUCACUGGGACCUUCCUCAAACACUGCAAGAUGAGUAUGAAGGUUUCUUGAACCGCACCGUCAUGUACGUCAUUUGGGCCGCGUUCUUAGCAAGGAAUAUAAGAAGAAAAACAUAUAUACAUAAGUGAUCUCAUGUUAAUGAUUUGAUUCUAUGCUAUGCACAGAGAUGACUUUAGAGACUAUGCGGAUCUAUGUUUCAAGGAAUUUGGUGGAAAGGUGAAGAACUGGAUCACGAUCAACCAGCUGUACACAGUGCCUACGAGAGGCUAUGCAAUCGGAACAGAUGCACCCGGUCGAUGUUCUCCGGCGGUUGAUGAGAGAUGUUACGGCGGGAAUUCUUCAACAGAACCAUAUAUAGUUGCACAUAACCAGCUUCUUGCUCAUGCUGCGGCGGUCGAUGUUUACAGGAGAAAAUAUAAGGUGAGAGUACGUGGGUUUGUGAAUAGGUGUAGUCUUUACGUAUAUGACUAUAUCUAAUCAUAUAAUUAUGGUAUGCCGUGACCAACAGUUCCAAAAAGGGAAGAUCGGACCAGUGAUGAUAACCAGAUGGUUUCUUCCAUUUGAUGAGACUGAUGCCAGCAGAGAUGCAGCUGAGAGGAUGAAAGAAUUCUUCUUGGGAUGGUAACGUAUAUGUAUGUAUAUAUCAACAAAAAUGAAAUGAUUUUCUUAUACGUAUGUACGUCGACCAGGUUCAUGGAGCCGCUAACAAAGGGUAGAUACCCAGACAUCAUGAGGGAAAUUGUGGGUAGUCGGCUUCCCAAUUUCACGGAAGCAGAAGCGGAACUCGUUGCGGGUUCAUAUGAUUUUCUUGGUCUCAACUACUACACCACUCAGUACGCCCAGGCAAAACCUAACCCAGUUACAUGGGCAAAUCACACUGCCAUGAUGGACCCAGGCGCAAAGCUCACAUGUACCAUUCUGUUUCCUCUUAUAGUUACAACCUUUCUAUAUAUAGAUAUCUCCUUUUAAUUAUAACAUAUAUGUAAAUUGUGAGUGACCA